UACGAAGGGGGCUAGCGUUGCUCGGAAUCACUGGGCGUAAAGCGCACGUAGGCGGAUUCUUAAGUCAGGGGUGAAAUCCUGGAGCUCAACUCCAGAACUGCCUUUGAUACUGGGGAUCUCGAGUCCGGGAGAGGUGAGUGGAACUGCGAGUGUAGAGGUGAAAUUCGUAGAUAUUCGCAAGAACACCAGUGGCGAAGGCGGCUCACUGGCCCGGUACUGACGCUGAGGUGCGAAAGCGUGGGGAGCAAACAGG
This 253-nucleotide ribosomal RNA is filed under the name uncultured bacterium. RNAcentral describes it as "partial 16S ribosomal RNA". It matches the Rfam family "Bacterial small subunit ribosomal RNA", at positions 524 to 776 of the family's 1533-position model. The record is from RNAcentral.